This 253-nucleotide ribosomal RNA is filed under the name uncultured bacterium. RNAcentral's name for it is "partial 16S ribosomal RNA". It matches the Rfam family "Bacterial small subunit ribosomal RNA", at positions 524 to 776 of the family's 1533-position model. The record is from RNAcentral.
UACGUAGGGGGCAAGCGUUGUCCGGAAUCAUUGGGCGUAAAGCGCGCGUAGGCGGCUCUGUAAGUCCGUUGUGAAAGUCAAAGGCUCAACCUUUGAAAGCCGAUGGAUACUGCAGGGCUAGAGUCCGGAAGAGGCGAGUGGAAUUCCUGGUGUAGCGGUGGAAUGCGCAGAUAUCAGGAGGAACACCAAUAGCGAAGGCAGCUCGCUGGGACGGUACUGACGCUGAGGCGCGAAAGCGUGGGGAGCGAACAGG